This is a long non-coding RNA of Triticum dicoccoides, 259 nucleotides long. RefSeq lists it as uncharacterized. The transcript is spliced from 3 exons. NCBI's taxonomy places the organism in Eukaryota, Viridiplantae, Streptophyta, Magnoliopsida, Poales, Poaceae. The record is from RefSeq and is a predicted model, not a curated record.
UACCACUCACGUCCUCUCGCCCGUCAGGAUUUUGUUUCCAUUAACCAUUUCAGUCAUGGGAGAUUUGGUUUAUGUGGCUCUCCAUCGAUGGAAUGCCGAUGAAUGCACAUAUGAACAUACAUACAUAGUUCUGUUUUGCUUUAGAAUUCAGUGUCAGCUAGGGAUGCUCUAAAUUUCAUGGUUGUUGCUUGAUGUGGAAUAUGCAACUGGAACCGGCGACCAGCCCUUCCUCGCCCUCAGCCUCGACACCACCACUGAC